This 355-nucleotide unclassified non-coding RNA is filed under the name Hevea brasiliensis (rubber tree). Lineage: Eukaryota; Viridiplantae; Streptophyta; Magnoliopsida; Malpighiales; Euphorbiaceae. The record is from RNAcentral.
CUCCAUUUCAGAACUCUCCUGCAUUCAACUAUCUGAAGCCAAGCCUCUUCUAUUCCCUUCAAUUGAGACGCGGGUUUCUGAUAAACAUCAGAAAGCUUCACCAUAUGCACAGCUUUCACUCCAUUCAAAUCUGCUAGAGCUUUCUUCCUGGAAGAUUGGUUUGCAAUCCAUCUUUCAUAAUAAUGAAUGUACCUCUCCACAAGAUUCUUAGCCAUCUGUUUCUUUUGAUUCUCUUCAUCAUAAUCUCCAUCUCUCUUGGCCUUCUCAUAGGCAUUGCAAGAAUAGUAAUCCCCAUGAGAUUUCCAUUCACCAAGGCAUAGCCAGCAGAACUCAAAUUUACAAGGAGGUCUGCAAG